This 489-nucleotide long non-coding RNA is filed under the name Homo sapiens (human). Its description in RNAcentral is "non-protein coding LINC02348:10". The record is from RNAcentral. Lineage: Eukaryota; Metazoa; Chordata; Mammalia; Primates; Hominidae.
AAUUUGGUCUUAAUCAGGCUGAGCUAAGCCAGUCUGUAUUUGAGGAGUUGGAAGCAGGUGAUUCGGGCACAAAUUUGAAGGCUGAUAAACGGCAGCCGUCACCCGUGCACUCAGAGCGGCCAGAAGUCCUGCUCCUGGGGAAGGAGGAAGGGCGCAAGGGCAAUGAGCAUGUCGCCUUGCCCUCGGGGUGUGCGGUUUCUGCUCAGCCUCCUCUUGCAGCCUUGUUUCAAGUGUGGGAAUGGCCUCCUGACUCCCAAUCCGAAACAACUGCUGAGCACAGAAGGCAGAGCAGGGCCCUGAGAGUCAGAGGAAAAUGCUGCUGCGGGGACUGGGGAGCCCCAUCGGGUGACUCCCCAGAGAUGUGAGCAGGUGCAGAGGCUGGAACAACAGUGCUGCAGGAAAGUCUCUCCCGUGGAUGCUGUGGCCUGGGGCUUGGGUGACGACGUGCACGGCUGCCUCCUCGCUGUCACGUGCUCUGCUGGCUCGUCU